CUCUCGGCAACGGAUAUCUCGGCUCUCGCAUCGAUGAAGAACGUAGCGAAAUGCGAUACUUGGUGUGAAUUGCAGAAUCCCGUGAACCAUCGAGUCUUUGAACGCAAGUUGCGCCCGAGGCCACUAGGCCGAGGGCACGUCUGCCUGGGUGUCACGCAACGUC
Molecule: ribosomal RNA, 163 nt
Filed under: Microlobius foetidus
Lineage: Eukaryota; Viridiplantae; Streptophyta; Magnoliopsida; Fabales; Fabaceae
Description: 5.8S ribosomal RNA
Rfam family: 5.8S ribosomal RNA
About the family: 5.8S ribosomal RNA (5.8S rRNA) is a component of the large subunit of the eukaryotic ribosome. It is transcribed by RNA polymerase I as part of the 45S precursor that also contains 18S and 28S rRNA. Functionally, it is thought that 5.8S rRNA may be involved in ribosome translocation.
Source: RNAcentral